RNAcentral lists this ribosomal RNA (873 nucleotides) under Nesterenkonia lutea. RNAcentral's name for it is "bacterial SSU rRNA". It matches the Rfam family "Bacterial small subunit ribosomal RNA", at positions 60 to 943 of the family's 1533-position model. Lineage: Bacteria; Bacillati; Actinomycetota; Actinomycetes; Micrococcales; Micrococcaceae. The record is from RNAcentral.
AGUCGACGAUGAAGACCGUGCUUGCACGGUCGGAUUAGUGGCGAACGGGUGAGUAUCACGUGAGUAACCUUCCCUUGACUCUGGGAUAAGCCCGGGAAACUGGGUCUAAUACCGGAUACGACCAGUCCUCGCAUGGGGUGCUGGUGGAAAGAUUUAUCGGUCUUGGAUGGACUCGCGGCCUAUCAGCUUGUUGGUGAGGUAAAGGCUCACCAAGGCGAUGACGGGUAGCCGGCCUGAGAGGGUGACCGGCCACACUGGGACUGAGACACGGCCCAGACUCCUACGGGAGGCAGCAGUGGGGAAUAUUGCACAAUGGGCGAAAGCCUGAUGCAGCGACGCCGCGUGCGGGAUGACGGCCUUCGGGUUGUAAACCGCUUUCAGCAGGGAAGAAGCGAAAGUGACGGUACCUGCAGAAGAAGCGCCGGCUAACUACGUGCCAGCAGCCGCGGUAAUACGUAGGGCGCGAGCGUUAUCCGGAAUUAUUGGGCGUAAAGAGCUCGUAGGCGGUUUGUCACGUCUGCUGUGAAAGCCCGGGGCUCAACCCCGGGUGUGCAGUGGGUACGGGCAGACUAGAGUGCAGUAGGGGAGACUGGAAUUCCUGGUGUAGCGGUGAAAUGCGCAGAUAUCAGGAGGAACACCGAUGGCGAAGGCAGGUCUCUGGGCUGUUACUGACGCUGAGGAGCGAAAGCAUGGGGAGCGAACAGGAUUAGAUACCCUGGUAGUCCAUGCCGUAAACGUUGGGCACUAGUGUGGGGGACAUUCCACGUUUUCCGCGCCGUAGCUAACGCAUUAAGUGCCCCGCCUGGGGAGUACGGCCGCAAGGCUAAACUCAAAGGAAUUUGACGGGGGCCCGCACAAGCGGCGGAGCAUGCG